GACGAACGCUGGCGGCGUGCUUAACACAUGCAAGUCGAACGGAAAGGCCCUGCUUUUGUGGGGUGCUCGAUUGGCGAACGGGGGAGUAAAACGUGAGGAUCCUCCCCUUGUCUGUGGGAUAACUUCAGGAAACUGGGGCUAAUAUCGCGUAGGAGCUCCUGCUGCAUGUGGGGGGUUGGAAAGAUUCGGCUGUUGGGGCUGGUUUCGCUGGUUAUCCGCUUGUUUGGGGGGUAGUGGCUUACCAAGGUUUUGAAGGGUAGCCGGCCUGGGAGGGUGACCGGCGACAUUGGGACUAAGAUACGGACCAGAAUCCUACGGGAGGCAACAGUGGGGAAUAUUGCACAAUGGGCGGAAGCCUGAUACGGCAACGCCGGGAGCGGGAUGACGGCCUUCGAGUUGUAAACCGCUUUCGCCUGUACCGAAGCGUGAGUGACGGUAAUGGGUAAAGAAGCACCGGCUAACUACGUG
This 468-nucleotide ribosomal RNA is filed under the name uncultured bacterium. RNAcentral's name for it is "partial 16S ribosomal RNA". It matches the Rfam family "Bacterial small subunit ribosomal RNA", at positions 28 to 507 of the family's 1533-position model. The record is from RNAcentral.